UAAGGUCAGCUAAUUAAGCUAUCGGGCCCAUACCCCS
RNAcentral lists this transfer RNA (37 nucleotides) under Hippotragus niger (sable antelope). RNAcentral's name for it is "partial tRNA-Met". Lineage: Eukaryota; Metazoa; Chordata; Mammalia; Artiodactyla; Bovidae. The record is from RNAcentral.